GACGAACGCUGGCGGCAUGCCUAACACAUGCAAGUCGAACGGAGAUUACUUCGGUAAUCUUAGUGGCGAACGGGUGAGUAACGCGUGGGCAACCUGCCCUCUAGAUGGGGACAACAUCCCGAAAGGGGUGCUAAUACCGAAUGUGACAGCAAUCUCGCAUGAGGAUGCUGUGAAAGAUGGCCUCUAUUUAUAAGCUAUCGCUAGAGGAUGGGCCUGCGUCUGAUUAGCUAGUUGGUGGGGUAACGGCCUACCAAGGCGAUGAUCAGUAGCCGGUCUGAGAGGAUGAACGGCCACAUUGGGACUGAGACACGGCCCAGACUCCUACGGGAGGCAGCAGUGGGGAAUCUUCCGCAAUGGGCGAAAGCCUGACGGAGCAAUGCCGCGUGAGUGAUGAAGGAAUUCGUUCCGUAAAGCUCUUUUGUUUAUGACGAAUGUGCAGAUUGUGAACAAUGAUUUGUAAUGACGGUAGUAAACGAAUAAGCCACGGCUAACUACGUGCCAGCCGCCGCCGUAA
Molecule: ribosomal RNA, 514 nt
Filed under: uncultured bacterium
Lineage: Bacteria
Description: partial 16S ribosomal RNA
Rfam family: Bacterial small subunit ribosomal RNA
Source: RNAcentral